RNAcentral lists this ribosomal RNA (402 nucleotides) under uncultured bacterium. RNAcentral's name for it is "bacterial SSU rRNA". It matches the Rfam family "Bacterial small subunit ribosomal RNA", at positions 355 to 774 of the family's 1533-position model. The record is from RNAcentral.
UGGGGAAUAUUGGACAAUGGGCGCAAGCCUGAUCCAGCCAUGCCGCGUGAGUGAUGAAGGCCCUAGGGUUGUAAAGCUCUUUUGUGCGGGAAGAUAAUGACUGUACCGCAAGAAUAAGCCCCGGCUAACUUCGUGCCAGCAGCCGCGGUAAUACGAAGGGGGCUAGCGUUGCUCGGAAUCACUGGGCGUAAAGGGUGCGUAGGCGGGUCUUUAAGUCAGGGGUGAAAUCCUGGAGCUCAACUCCAGAACUGCCUUUGAUACUGAAGAUCUUGAGUUCGGGAGAGGUGAGUGGAACUGCGAGUGUAGAGGUGAAAUUCGUAGAUAUUCGCAAGAACACCAGUGGCGAAGGCGGCUCACUGGCCCGAUACUGACGCUGAGGCACGAAAGCGUGGGGAGCAAACA